GCCGCGUGAGUGAAGAAGGUUCUUCUGGAUCUGUAAAACUCUGUUGUUAGAGAAGAACAAGGAUGAGAGUAACUGCUCAUCCCCUGACGGUAUCUAACCAGAAAGCCACGGCUAACUAG
Molecule: ribosomal RNA, 119 nt
Filed under: uncultured Carnobacterium sp.
Lineage: Bacteria; Bacillati; Bacillota; Bacilli; Lactobacillales; Carnobacteriaceae
Description: partial 16S ribosomal RNA
Rfam family: Bacterial small subunit ribosomal RNA
Source: RNAcentral